AUUGAACGCUGGCGGCAGGCCUAACACAUGCAAGUCGAGCGGAUGAAGGGAGCUUGCUCCUGGAUUCAGCGGCGGACGGGUGAGUAAUGCCUAGGAAUCUGCCUGGUAGUGGGGGAUAACGUCCGGAAACGGGCGCUAAUACCGCAUACGUCCUGAGGGAGAAAGUGGGGGAUCUUCGGACCUCACGCUAUCAGAUGGGCCUAGGUCGGAUUAGCUAGUUGGUGGGGUAAAGGCCUACCAAGGCGACGAUCCGUAACUGGUCUGAGAGGGUGAUCAGUCACACUGGAACUGAGACACGGUCCAGACUCCUACGGGAGGCAGCAGUGGGGAAUAUUGGACAAUGGGCGAAAGCCUGAUCCAGCCAUGCCGCGUGUGUGAAGAAGGUCUUCGGAUUGUAAAGCACUUUAAGUUGGGAGGAAGGGCAGUAAGUUAAUACCUUGCUGUUUUGACGUUACCAACAGAAUAAGCACCGGCUAACUUCGUG
This 484-nucleotide ribosomal RNA is filed under the name uncultured bacterium. Its description in RNAcentral is "partial 16S ribosomal RNA". It matches the Rfam family "Bacterial small subunit ribosomal RNA", at positions 30 to 507 of the family's 1533-position model. The record is from RNAcentral.